Molecule: ribosomal RNA, 487 nt
Filed under: uncultured bacterium
Lineage: Bacteria
Description: partial 16S ribosomal RNA
Rfam family: Bacterial small subunit ribosomal RNA
Source: RNAcentral
GAUGAACGCUAGCGAUAGGCUUAACACAUGCAAGUCGAGGGGCAGCACAAGGUAGCUUGCUAUCUGGGUGGCGACCGGCGCACGUGUGCGUAACGCGUAUACAACUUGCCCUAUACAGGAGGAUAACCCGUCGAAAGACGGACUAAUACUGCGUAUGCUCACAACUUGGCAUCAAGUGGUGAGGAAAGAAAUUCGGUAUAGGAUAGGCAUGCGUCCCAUUAGCUUGUUGGUGAGGUAACGGCUCACCAAGGCAACGAUGGGUAGGGGAACUGAGAGGUUUGUCCCCCACACUGGUACCGAGACCCGGGCCAGACUGCUACGGGAGGCAGCAGUAAGGAAUAUUGGUCAAUGGGCGCGAGCCUGAACAAGCCAAGUCGCGUGAAGGAUGACUGUCUUAUGGAUUGUAAACUUCUUUUAUACGGGAAUAACAAGAGUCACGUGUGACUCCCUGACUGUACCGUAUGAAUAAGCAUCGGCUAACUACGUG